AAGUGAGAUGAUGGCAUACCAUCUUUCGGGACUGACCUGGAAUGGAGAUAAUUUGUAAUUGCUGAUCACUU
Molecule: small nucleolar RNA, 71 nt
Organism: Varanus komodoensis (Komodo dragon)
Lineage: Eukaryota; Metazoa; Chordata; Lepidosauria; Squamata; Varanidae
Source: Ensembl